AACGAACGCUGGCGGCAUGCCUAACACAUGCAAGUCGAACGAGACCUUCGGGUCUAGUGGCGCACGGGUGCGUAACGCGUGGGAAUCUGCCCUUGGGUUCGGAAUAACAGUUGGAAACGACUGCUAAUACCGGAUGAUGACGUAAGUCCAAAGAUUUAUCGCCCAGGGAUGAGCCCGCGUAGGAUUAGCUAGUUGGUGGGGUAAGGGCCUACCAAGGCGACGAUCCUUAGCUGGUCUGAGAGGAUGAUCAGCCACACUGGGACUGAGACACGGCCCAGACUCCUACGGGAGGCAGCAGUGGGGAAUAUUGGACAAUGGGCGAAAGCCUGAUCCAGCAAUGCCGCGUGAGUGAUGAAGGCCUUAGGGUUGUAAAGCUCUUUUACCCGGGAUGAUAAUGACAGUACCGGGAGAAUAAGCCCCGGCUAACUCCGUG
Molecule: ribosomal RNA, 433 nt
Filed under: uncultured bacterium
Lineage: Bacteria
Description: partial 16S ribosomal RNA
Rfam family: Bacterial small subunit ribosomal RNA
Source: RNAcentral